UACAGAGGUCCCAAGCGUUGUUCGGAUUCACUGGGCGUAAAGGGUGCGUAGGUGGUCGGGUAAGUCCGAUGUGAAAUCUCCGAGCUCAACUCGGAAACUGCACCGGAUACUAUUCGGCUGGAGGGUUGGAGGGGGGACUGGAAUGCUUGGUGUAGCAGUGAAAUGCGUAGAUAUCAAGAGGAACACCAGUGGCGAAGGCGGCGUUCUGGACUGCAACUGACACUGAGAAACGAAAGCCAGGGUAGCAAACGGG
Molecule: ribosomal RNA, 253 nt
Filed under: uncultured bacterium
Lineage: Bacteria
Description: partial 16S ribosomal RNA
Rfam family: Bacterial small subunit ribosomal RNA
Source: RNAcentral